Molecule: ribosomal RNA, 253 nt
Filed under: uncultured bacterium
Lineage: Bacteria
Description: partial 16S ribosomal RNA
Rfam family: Bacterial small subunit ribosomal RNA
Source: RNAcentral
UACAGAGGUCCCGAGCGUUGUUCGGAUUCACUGGGCGUAAAGGGUGCGUAGGUGGCUUGGCAAGUUUGAUGUGAAAGCUCAGGGCUUAACCCUGAAAUGGCAUUGAAUACUGCCGGGCUGGAGGUUUGGAGGGGGGACUGGAAUUCUUGGUGUAGCAGUGAAAUGCGUAGAGAUCAUGAGGAAGACCAGUGGCGAAGGCGGGUCUCUGGGCCGAUACUGACGCUGAGGAGCGAAAGCGUGGGGAGCGAACAGG